AACGAACGCUGGCGGCAUGCCUUACACAUGCAAGUCGAACGGCAGCACGGGAGCAAUCCUGGUGGCGAGUGGCGAACGGGUGAGUAAUAUAUCGGAACGUGCCCAGUCGUGGGGAUAACGUAGCGAAAGCUACGCUAAUACCGCAUACGAUCUAUGGAUGAAAGCGGGGGAUCGCAAGACCUCGCGCGAUUGGAGCGGCCGAUAUCAGAUUAGGUAGUUGGUGAGGUAAAGGCUCACCAAGCCGACGAUCUGUAGCUGGUCUGAGAGGACGACCAGCCACACUGGGACUGAGACACGGCCCAGACUCCUACGGGAGGCAGCAGUGGGGAAUUUUGGGACAAUGGGCGCAAGCCUGAUCCAGCAAUGCCGCGUGCAGGAUGAAGGCCUUCGGGUU
Molecule: ribosomal RNA, 394 nt
Filed under: uncultured bacterium
Lineage: Bacteria
Description: bacterial SSU rRNA
Rfam family: Bacterial small subunit ribosomal RNA
Source: RNAcentral